Molecule: ribosomal RNA, 497 nt
Filed under: uncultured bacterium
Lineage: Bacteria
Description: partial 16S ribosomal RNA
Rfam family: Bacterial small subunit ribosomal RNA
Source: RNAcentral
GAUGAACGCCGGCGGCGUGCCUAAUACAUGCCAGUCGAGCGAACGGACGAGAAGCUUGCUUUUCUGAUGUUAGCGGCGGACGGGUGAGUAACACGUGGAUAACCUACCUAUAAGACUGGGAUAACUUCGGGAAACCGGAGCUAAUACCGGAUAAUAUUUUGAACCGCAUGGUUCAAAAGUGAAAGACGGUCUUGCUGUCACUUAUAGAUGGAUCCGCGCUGCAUUAGCUAGUUGGUAAGGUAACGGCUUACCAAGGCAACGAUGCAUAGCCGACCUGAGAGGGUGAUCGGCCACACUGGAACUGAGACACGGUCCAGACUCCUACGGGAGGCAGCAGUAGGGAAUCUUCCGCAAUGGGCGAAAGCCUGACGGAGCAACGCCGCGUGAGUGAUAAAGGUCUUCGGAUCGUAAAACUCUGUUAUUAGGGAAGAACAUAUGUGUAAGUAACUGUGCACAUCUUGACGGUACCUAAUCAGAAAGCCACGGCUAACUACGUG